RNAcentral lists this ribosomal RNA (497 nucleotides) under uncultured bacterium. RNAcentral describes it as "partial 16S ribosomal RNA". It matches the Rfam family "Bacterial small subunit ribosomal RNA", at positions 28 to 507 of the family's 1533-position model. The record is from RNAcentral.
GAUGAACGCUGGCGGCGUGCCUAAUACAUGCAAGUCGAGCGAACGGACGAGAAGCUUGCUUCUCUGAUGUUAGCGGCGGACGGGUGAGUAACACGUGGAUAACCUACCUAUAAGACUGGGAUAACUUCGGGAAACCGGAGCUAAUACCGGAUAAUAUUUUGAACCGCAUGGUUCAAAAGUGAAAGACGGUCUUGCUGUCACUUAUAGAUGGAUCCGCGCUGCAUUAGCUAGUUGGUAAGGUAACGGCUUACCAAGGCAACGAUGCAUAGCCGACCUGAGAGGGUGAUCGGCCACACUGGAAAUGAGACACGGUCCAGACUCCUACGGGAGGCAGCAGUAGGGAAUCUUCCGCAAUGGGCGAAAGCCUGAAGGAGCAACGCCGCGUGAGUGAUGAAGGUCUUCGGAUCGUAAAACUCUGUUAUUAGGGAAGAACAUAUGUGUAAGUAACUGUGCACAUCUUGACGGUACCUAAUCAGAAAGCCACGGCUAACUACGUG